RNAcentral lists this ribosomal RNA (875 nucleotides) under uncultured eukaryote. RNAcentral's name for it is "bacterial SSU rRNA". It matches the Rfam family "Eukaryotic small subunit ribosomal RNA", at positions 384 to 1245 of the family's 1831-position model. The record is from RNAcentral.
CGGAGAGGGCGCAUGAGAAACGGCUACCACUUCUAAGGAAGGCAGCAGGCGCGCAAAUUACCCAAUCCUGGACCAGGGAGGGAGUGACCAAAAAUAACAAUAGUCCUGCUCUUAACAGGAUCUAAUUGGAGUGAGAAGAAUUUAUAUAUCUUCCUCAUAACCGAGUACCUGUGUGGAGGGCAAGUCUGGUGCCAGCAGCCGCGGUAAUUCCAGCUCCAAUAGCGUAUACUAAAGUUGUUGCAGUUAAAAAGCUCCUAGUCGGAUUUCUGCGCGGGUGGGGCAGCCAGUGCCGCUUUUGCCUCAGCGCUAGCAACGCCCGCGCAUCCUGCCGCGAACGUCGCUACCAUUGAUUUGGCGGCGUCUCGGGAUCGGCUCGUUUACUUUGAGAAAAAUAGAGUGUUCAAAGCAGGCCAACCCGCCUUGAAUAAGUUAGCAUGGAAUAAUGAUAAAGGACUUCGGUUCUAUUUUGUUGGUGUUCCGGGACUGAAGUAAUGAUUGAUAGGGACGGUUGGGGGCCUCUGUAUUUCGGAGCGAGAGGUGAAAUUCUUAGACCUCCGGAAGACAAACCGCUGCGAAAGCGUUGGCCAAGUGACGUUCGCCUUUGAUCAAGAACGAAAGUUGGGGGAUCGAAGACCAUCAGAUACGGUCGUAGUCUCAACUAUAAACUAUACCAGCUAGGGAUCGGCCGAUGUUGUAAACUUAAGACUCGGUCGGCACCUUAUGAGAAAUCAAAGCAUCUGGGUUCCGGGGGGAGUAUGGUCGCAAGGCUGAAACUUAAAGGAAUUGACGGAAGGGCACCACCAGGCGUGGGGCCUGCGGCUUAAUUUGACUCAACACGGGGAAACUUACCAGGUCCAGACAUAGUGAGGAUGACA